CGUACUAAACUCUACUGUGGUAGAUGCUAUAAGCAGGUGGUCCUAACGCCAGUGCUGGAGAAGCGCGGUUUGGCUGACUCUCCAACGGACCUGCUCCCUCACACAGUGACUCUGGUGUCCAUGCCUGCUGCCACCAAUGGUAAAAGGGGUUUCUCUGUCAGUGUGCUUAGAGACUGCACCAGUGCCACGGCCAGUGUUCAGGUCAAAGAGGUCAGAGGGAUGCAUAUUAGUCCAGAGGUUCGGAACGCCAUCCAUGUUGGGGACCGAAUCCUGGAGAUCAAUGGACUCCUCGGUGUCAG
Long non-coding RNA from Cyprinus carpio (common carp), 299 nucleotides. RefSeq lists it as uncharacterized. The transcript is spliced from 3 exons. Lineage: Eukaryota; Metazoa; Chordata; Actinopteri; Cypriniformes; Cyprinidae. The record is from RefSeq and is a predicted model, not a curated record.